This 497-nucleotide ribosomal RNA is filed under the name uncultured bacterium. RNAcentral's name for it is "partial 16S ribosomal RNA". It matches the Rfam family "Bacterial small subunit ribosomal RNA", at positions 28 to 507 of the family's 1533-position model. The record is from RNAcentral.
GAUGAACGCUGGCGGCGUGCCUAAUACAUGCCAGUCGAGCGAACGGACGAGAAGCUUGCUUCUCUGAUGUUAGCGGCGGACGGGUGAGUAACACGUGGAUAACCUACCUAUAAGACUGGGAUAACUUCGGGAAACCGGAGCUAAUACCGGAUAAUAUUUUGAACCGCAUGGUUCAAAAGUGAAAGACGGUCUUGCUGUCACUUAUAGAUGGAUCCGCGCUGCAUUAGCUAGUUGGUAAGGUAACGGCUUACCAAGGCAACGAUGCAUAGCCGACCUGAGAGGGUGAUCGGCCACACUGGAACUGAGACACGGUCCAGACUCCUACGGGAGGCAGCAGUAGGGAAUCUUCCGCAAUGGGCGAAAGCCUGACGGAGCAACGCCGCGUGAGUGAUGAAGGUCUUCGGAUCGUAAAACUCUGUUAUUAGGGAAGAACAAAUGUGUAAGUAACUAUGCACAUCUUGACGGUACCUAAUCAGAAAGCCACGGCUAACUACGUG